GGCUAGACUGGAGGGUUAGGGGUCCUCUGUAAGCACACACCCCCUUUGGUGCAGUUGAAGUCCAAGAGGCGGCUUUUUGAAGGGAUAUCAGCCUUUAAAACCAACAUAGAAACUUCGUCCUACAGGAUUAUUGGUGAGUUGGGUUUUACUGUAGGGUAAAACUUAUUUCUCUUUAAUUUAGGAAUGUGUCAGGCCCGGGAGGGAGCAGCUCUACUAAUAACAACUAAUGCUUGUAGAUUAACGGGGUGGAGUUGUGUUUUUUAGAUCACUUAUAU
RNAcentral lists this signal recognition particle RNA (275 nucleotides) under Methanobrevibacter woesei. RNAcentral describes it as "Archaeal signal recognition particle RNA". It matches the Rfam family "Archaeal signal recognition particle RNA", at positions 6 to 283 of the family's 317-position model. The record is from RNAcentral. Lineage: Archaea; Methanobacteriati; Methanobacteriota; Methanobacteria; Methanobacteriales; Methanobacteriaceae.